Molecule: long non-coding RNA, 352 nt
Organism: Ochotona princeps (American pika)
Lineage: Eukaryota; Metazoa; Chordata; Mammalia; Lagomorpha; Ochotonidae
Exons: 3
Source: RefSeq, a predicted model, not a curated record
GAGUUUCCAGCUCCUGGUUUCAGCCCCAGCCACGGCUAUAAGCUCUUCAAGAUCCAGUGUACCAAAUGCACUAGCCAGCACAUGCUUGUCUACUGAUUCCUUCUUACUAGCAAUUCAGAUGUGGCAAAAAAUAAGAAGUGCAACAUUCCAUUCAACAACUUCAAACAACAUCCAUAAACAGUGAUUUGGUCACGUGAUUAGACUGACCAAGCAAACAAUUAUCUGUGUUGCCAAAUGUCUGUUGAAUCAAGUGAAACAGUUUCUUUUCAGAACAAACAGAGCUUUCAGAUUAUAAUGUACUCUCACCUCCAGUCUCACAUCAAUUUAAGGCACAAAGAAUUCCCAAAAUGGA